GCAUGGUAAAGUGACAUCAAAUAGCUGCACGUGUGCAGCUGGAUCUGCUCCAGUGGCACAGUUGCCGCAUCGGGGACUUAAGGGGCUUUUCGCUUUGCAGCGCUCAAGCGCCAGGCUUCAGUUGCGCCAAAUCAAAUUGUAACAAUUGCCAUUGAAUGCUGCUCGCCCUGCUAGAGCCGCAGCUGACCUGGCUCCCGUUUCACAAUCAUUUUUGGCUGUGCUCUGCUCCGUAACACAAUUUGCCAGACCAAAACAGCUCGAAAGACAUCGAGACUGGCAGCAGCAGCA
Long non-coding RNA from Drosophila navojoa, 288 nucleotides. NCBI's taxonomy places the organism in Eukaryota, Metazoa, Arthropoda, Insecta, Diptera, Drosophilidae. The record is from RefSeq and is a predicted model, not a curated record.